This 429-nucleotide ribosomal RNA is filed under the name Actinomycetes bacterium. Its description in RNAcentral is "Actinobacteria bacterium partial 16S ribosomal RNA". It matches the Rfam family "Bacterial small subunit ribosomal RNA", at positions 355 to 776 of the family's 1533-position model. Lineage: Bacteria; Bacillati; Actinomycetota; Actinomycetes. The record is from RNAcentral.
UAGGGAAUCUUCCGCAAUGGGCGAAAGCCUGACGGAGCAACGCCGCGUGAGUGAUGAAGGUCUUCGGAUCGUAAAACUCUGUUAUUAGGGAAGAACAAAUGUGUAAGUAACUAUGCACGUCUUGACGGUACCUAAUCAGAAAGCCACGGCUAACUACGUGCCAGCAGCCGCGGUAAUACGUAGGUGGCAAGCGUUAUCCGGAAUUAUUGGGCGUAAAGCGCGCGUAGGCGGUUUUUUAAGUCUGAUGUGAAAGCCCACGGCUCAACCGUGGAGGGUCAUUGGAAACUGGACGACUUGAGUGCAGAAGAGGAAAGUGGAAUUCCAUGUGUAGCGGUGACAUGCGCAGAGAUAUGGGGGAACACCAGUGGCGAAGGCGUCUUUCUGGUCUGUAACUGACGCUGAUGUGCGAAAGCGUGGGGAUCAAACAGG